RNAcentral lists this ribosomal RNA (487 nucleotides) under uncultured bacterium. RNAcentral describes it as "bacterial SSU rRNA". It matches the Rfam family "Bacterial small subunit ribosomal RNA", at positions 8 to 507 of the family's 1533-position model. The record is from RNAcentral.
AGAGUUUGAUCAGUGGCGUCAGGACGACGCUGGCGGCGUGCUUAACACAUGCAAGUCGAACGGUGACCCAGGGCUUGCCCUGGUGAUCAGUGGCGAACGGGUGAGUAACACGUGGGCAACCUGCCCCUGACUUCGGGAUAACUCCUCGAAAGAGGAGCUAAUACCGGAUACGACCACUUCGGACAUCCGAUGGUGGUGGAAAGUUUUUCGGUCAGGGAUGGGCCCGCGGCCUAUCAGCUAGUUGGUGGGGUAAUGGCCUACCAAGGCGACGACGGGUAGCCGGCCUGAGAGGGCGACCGGCCACACUGGGACUGAGACACGGCCCAGACUCCUACGGGAGGCAGCAGUGGGGAAUAUUGCGCAAUGGGCGAAAGCCUGACGCAGCGACGCCGCGUGAGGGAUGAAGGCCUUCGGGUUGUAAACCUCUUUCAGCAGGGACGAAGCGAAAGUGACGGUACCUGCAGAAGAAGCACCGGCUAACUACGUG